AGAUGGAUGUGGAGAAGAGAGGGAGCGCUAAUGACCUACUACAGCACCAGUUCCUGAAGGUGGCCAAGCCUUUAUCCAGUCUGACUCCUCUCAUCCAGGCAGCCAAAGAAGCAGCUAAGGCUAACCGCUAACCUGCUAGCUGCUAGCUCCACAGAUCACCCCUUCAUUCUCUCUCUCUCUCUGUCGCUCUCCCCCACUGGGGCAAACAAGACCCAGACAGGGGGUGUUUCAGGGGGUCCCAUCCCCCUCAACCCCUUGACCUAUCACGGUGACUGUGGGAAGGACGCUCUUACUGAUGUCAUCGCUGGUACUAAUACUCUGAUCGGAUUGGAGGAGAGAUCCAGGCCCAAAGACUCAUGGGAGUUGUAGUUUCAGCAGGACAGUGGCUGUGGACUGGAUCAUAUCUGACCUUUGAACUGUUUGUUUGUUGAUGUCUGACUGUUAUUUUCAUGUGUUGAAAAAGUGCAUUUUAGUUUGAUCUUUUCUUAGGUGUUUUGUUUUGAGGAGAAGGGUUUGGUUGAAAGUGUAAUGAAGAGACACAAAGUGGUACUGUUGAUAUUAUCUCAGUCCCAAACGCCACCCUAUUCCCUACAUAGUGCACUACUUUGGUCACAAAUAGGGUGCCAUUUGGGACAGUCGUUUAGUCUGAUCAAAUGUUGGAAUUCUAUCUCCUUAUCUCUACUUCUCUUUCUCUCCCUCUCUUUCUCUGUCUGGCUGAGUGAGAUGACACGCAUGACAAACCUUUCUUAUGGAAUGUCUAAAAUCAUAAUACAGUAGUGAUGAUGAUUAUGAUGGUACAUGAAGGAUGCCUGUGUACGAUACAGUAUAGAAGAACAUAUCUAAAUCCUAUUUUUCAGUACAAUCGUUGCGGUACAAUGUUGGACGGAUCCUAGUCCCAACCCUCUGAAGAUAGAAUGUACAUUACAUGUGAAAGAACUGCUCUGAAAAACCCCAGCCUAAAACAACCAGAAGAAUAUUGUCUGCAUUCUUUGUUUAGCAACGUGUUUUCUUUAUGCAGAUGGCGCUGAAGAAUACCAAGGUACCAAUAAGAAGUAUACUUUUUACCAGGUUUGGCUUAGUUCUGUUUUUAAAAUGUAGUGUUGAAACUGCCUUUGGCCUUAAACUGUCUCACAGGUGGAAGAGUUCCAGCAGACAGUUGGACAGCCUCUAGUCCCUCUCACCAGACUGAGUGCUCUGCACGCUCCUGCGGCUGUGAGAAGAGACUACACAACCUUCAAAUCUUGUCAGUUCCCCAGACUACUGUAGCCCACCUGAGGUUAGACAGGUUUAGAACUGGGAUAGACUGGAUUGAACUUGCUCAAACUGGUUUAGACUGGUUCAGACCAGUUCAGAUAAGGGUGGUGAUAGUUAUUGAAGUCUUCUCUUCCUGUGUAUUGGAGCCAUAAUUAUGUUUAUCAAAUUAUUGGAUUAUUUUGAAUGAGACAAAUAAAGUGAAGAAAACGCUGUAUGGUGGAUAGAGUCUGGCUGUCUGUAAAUCUGUUUCGGGCUGUUGUGUGUACCCCUGGUUAGGUCUGUUUAUAUAAAGUGUUAUUGUAAUUUUAAGUGUGUCAGCUCCUCUGAGAGGGCUCUCAUCUGAAUGGGAAAUUAGACUCAUCACUGAUUAAACUGGUAAUUACU
Non-coding RNA from Salvelinus sp. IW2-2015, 1638 nucleotides. Lineage: Eukaryota; Metazoa; Chordata; Actinopteri; Salmoniformes; Salmonidae. The record is from RefSeq and is a predicted model, not a curated record.